Long non-coding RNA from Ornithorhynchus anatinus (platypus), 269 nucleotides. RefSeq lists it as uncharacterized. NCBI's taxonomy places the organism in Eukaryota, Metazoa, Chordata, Mammalia, Monotremata, Ornithorhynchidae. The transcript is spliced from 2 exons. The record is from RefSeq and is a predicted model, not a curated record.
GAAGCCAUGAGGCUGCUACCAUGACCGCGAGUCCGGAAAGAAGUGGAGGUGAGUGGGAAACGACCAAAUGCAAACCCACGGCCGAGCCAGUGAGGGAAACAGCCCUUCCCCAAAGAAGCAAGUCGGGGCAGUCGAUCUCGUCCACUUUUAAUAGGCGUUCGAGGAGGCACGAGGUGGAGGAGAAGUAUGCUCCAGAGAAGGCUUAAAGAGCACAACCACAGGAAGCCGUCCUGUCAUUGAGAGAUUCAAAAAUAAAGCCUAAAAUGGGA